AAUCAACGCUGGCGGCGUGCCUCAGACAUGCAAGUCGAACGAUUAAACUUCCCUUCGGGGAAGAUAUAAAGUGGCGCACGGGUGAGUAACACGUAGGUAAUGUACCUUUGGGUGGGGAAUAACUUAGGGAAACUUAAGCUAAUACCGCAUAAUGCAGCGGCUCCUUCGGGAGACAGUUGUUAAAGAUUUAUCGCCUAAAGAGCAGCCUGCGGCAGAUUAGCUAGUUGGUAAGGUAACGGCUUACCAAGGCUACGAUCUGUAUCCGACCUGAGAGGGUGGUCGGACACACUGACACUGAAUAACGGGUCAGACUCCUACGGGAGGCAGCAGUCGGGAAUUUUGGGCAAUGGGCGAAAGCCUGACCCAGCAACGCCGCGUGAAGGAUGAAGUCUUUCGGGAUGUAAACUUCGUAAGAAUAGGAAGAAUAAAUGACGGUACGAUUUGUAAGGUCCGGCUAACUACGUG
RNAcentral lists this ribosomal RNA (465 nucleotides) under uncultured bacterium. RNAcentral's name for it is "partial 16S ribosomal RNA". It matches the Rfam family "Bacterial small subunit ribosomal RNA", at positions 32 to 507 of the family's 1533-position model. The record is from RNAcentral.